UGGUAGAAAACCUUGUGUGUUUCUGAGGCAUAUAUCUCAGUGUAUGUUUUCCAGGUUCCUGGGAGGAAAUCCCAGCUAACCAGAGACAUGAUUAGGGGAUGUGUCUGCUCUCAGGGUAAGUGAUGAUGUGUGCCAUAAACUUACCAUAGUUACGUGAUCUGCACGUAUCUAGGUCAGUGAGGUUCCUUUUCCUGAAUGGUUUACUGUGUGAUGGGUUUAUGGGUAUUCCAGUAAGAAAGGGUAGUGGCUCCUUGUUCUCCUUGCCAGGUGGUCCUGUUGUUUUCAGUCUGGGAGAGAGCGUAUGAGGUAUGUACCCUGUGAGUGUUGAUUGAUUGGCACGUACCCAGGGAACUCACGUGACACUGUGCAUCAUAGGAGUAACUGCGGUGGAUUUGCAGAGAAGCCGGCCAGAGAAAAUGCCAUGUCCUACAAGGAGGGCCUGCAAACAUCCAGGUACAAUUCUGGCUACCACAAUGAUGAUCAUGAGCAGGCAGUUUGCAGGGUCCUGGUAGAAAUGCUGUGUCCAUAGAAACAUUGGUCACAUAUAUGGUUUCAAGUUCCCAUGGAGAGGUUACAGGAAACCUCUUUGUGCUUGAGCAGAGGACUGUGCCUGAAUUUAGGGCGGUGAUGGUGUGGGCCUAAGCAGGCCACGGAGUAUCUGAUCUUCCCAUACUCAGGUAAAUGCGGAUGGCUUUCUGGCUCUUGUCCCUGUCCUGACAUGGGUUCCUUAUCUCAUUUUCUGUUCUUUAUUUUAUGCAGUUAUUCAGUUAAGAAACAAUGCUUUGCCAACCAAGGCUAGUAAGCAUUAGUCCUUGCUAUGUUCAACUUUGGGAAAAUGUGCCUUGAACAUGAGUCCGUGUUGGCUGAGGAAGAUGUGGGUGUCCAGGUAAAUUCUCCUACUCCACCAGACGACAGGAUGGAAUGAUAAUUCUGACCCAUCCUCAGUCCGGAGCCAGUAAUGGUGCCAGCAGUGAGGUGAAGUUGGAGUUUUGCCAGGAUCUAGGUAAGGUUGAUGGUUCCCAGAAGUACAGCAGUGACCAGGCCAUGUGGUAUGUGUCCUUUUUGUCUUUCAGGUGUGCCAAGUGGCAUCCCGGAAAACACCUGUCAAAUGCAUUUCUUCUGCUGCUGUUAGUCACAUGAUCAAGGCCAGUCUGAGAAUGGCCAUUUGGGGGCCCUGGAUAGUAACCAGGUUCCUGUCAAGAGAUUAUAACAAACCUAACAAUGAUCAUUAUCAGGGACUAUUUCUGGUAUCCAGGUAAGUGAUGAUGUGCAUUUUAAUGACAUCACAGACCAUCUGGUCUUUACAUAUCUAGGUAAGUGAUGUUUGUUUGCCUAAACUUGUUUACCAUGUGAUUUUUUUAAAAAAACAAUUCUAGUAACCGUGUUACCCUAUUGUUCUGUGUUUUCAAGAAAAUAUAUUUUUUACGCUGUGAGUGACUCACAUCCAGGUAAUUUUCAAUAUGUUCUGCAUCACAGUAUUAUCCAUAGUAUUUUUACAGGUGUGCCAUCAGAAAACAAUGGUGUCUUUAACCAUGGUAUAGACCUUGUGUUGAUGCAGGUUUCCAGGUAGAGAUGUUUCCUGCAUUAAUGGAAGUGAAUAAGGUUAUUUGCAAUUGUCCAAGUUGAAAAGGUGUCUGUAUUCACAUUUGUCAUAAUAUGUUUUCAAGUUCCAGCAAAAAGAUCAUGUUGAACUUCAUAAUGAUGAUUAAUGGGGAUUUUGCAUGUAGACAAGUGAUUAUGUGGGCCUUAAGCAUCCUACAGAUCACGUGAUCUUCAGAUAUCUAGGUAAGUAUACAUGAGGUCCCUAACAUUUGUGUUAUCAGAGGUUUUUUGUGAGUAUUCAUGUAAGAAAUGAUAGUCUCCUAAUAAAUACUUGGAAGCAAUAACCCUUUCUGUUUGAGUUUAGGUAUAUGUUUAACCUUAGUAGCAUCUAAAAUAUAUUUAGGUAUCCAAGUAAGUUAUAAUUUUGCCCAAUACCUAUAUAUUGACCAUGACAUUUUUUUUCUUUUUUGCAGUUAUCUUGUCAAGACAACAACGUGUCUCUAACUAGGUUGUCGACUUUGAACAUCUGAAUGUCUCCAGAUUCCAAUUAAAAGAUUAUUGAAAACCUCCCUAUGGUACUGAAGGCAAGAUUUUUCCUGCAUCCAAGUACAAGAUGAUGUUGGUACCAAAGGAGAUAUCCAGGUAAGCAAUAAUGGUGUUCUUAAGCCAACAUAGUGACCAAGUUUGUUUGCAGGCAUUCUUGUAAGUUAUGUUGACUAACCACCAUAGUGACCAGGGGAAUUUUGCAGAUAUCCUAUUAAGCUAUGAAGAUGUCUGUAACUAAGGUGUUUUCCUUGGAAAUGUGCAGGCAUCCAGAUAAGAGUUGAUGGUGACCCUAAUCAAGAUCACGACCAUGGGAUUUUGCAGUUAGGCAAGGAAUGAUGUGCCCUUACUGCGAUAUUUAUCUUGGCCUUUUUAGGUGUUCAGGUUAGAGAUGGUGUUUGUCUAAUACAUUAGUGGCCAUGGGGUUUUUUCAAGUAUCUAGUUAGAAGAUGAUAGUGUCUGUAUGUAUAGUGCUAACCUCUGAAUUUUGCAUGUAUCCAGGUCAAAGUUGUUCUGUCCCUUACCAUGUUAGUGGUCUUAGGAUAUUUUAGAUGUCCAGAUAAAGGGUGAUAUGUCCUUAACCACAUUAGUUACCAAGCAAUACUGCAUGUGUCCAGUUAAGAGAUGAUAGUGGCCCCAACCAUGGUAUUGACCAUGAAUUUUUGCAAUUUUCCAGGAUACAGAUGGUGUUUCACUACCUUCAGUAUUGACCAUGUGGUUUUACAGGCAUCCUAGCAAGAAAUUAUGUAUCCACAAUUCUGUUUUUUAUCCUCAGAUUUAUUUAGGUAUUAUGGAAAGAGAUAAUGGUGUUCCUAACAUUUACUGACCAUAGGCUUUGAAGAUACCCAGCCAAGAGAUGAUGGAGUCUCUAUCAAUGUUGGUGUCCAC
Long non-coding RNA from Sapajus apella (tufted capuchin), 2973 nucleotides. RefSeq lists it as uncharacterized. Lineage: Eukaryota; Metazoa; Chordata; Mammalia; Primates; Cebidae. The transcript has 3 exons. The record is from RefSeq and is a predicted model, not a curated record.